Molecule: ribosomal RNA, 408 nt
Filed under: uncultured bacterium
Lineage: Bacteria
Description: partial 16S ribosomal RNA
Rfam family: Bacterial small subunit ribosomal RNA
Source: RNAcentral
GACGAACGCUGGCGGCGUGCUUAACACAUGCAAGUCGAACGAAGUGGCGAACGGGUGAGUAACGCGUAAUCAACCUGCCCUUCAGAGGGGGACAACAGUUGGAAACGACUGCUAAUACCGCAUACUGAAGGAGGGGAUUGCGUGUGAUUAGCUAGUUGGAGGGGUAACGGCCAACCAAGGCGAUGAUCAGUAGCCGGUCUGGGGGGAUGGACGGCCACAUUUGGACUGGGACACGGGCCAGACUCCUACGGGGGGCAGCAGUGGGGGAUCUUCCGCAAUGGACGGAAGUCUGACGGAGCAACGCCGCGUGGGUGAUGACGGCCUUCGGGUUGUAAAGCUCUGUUAAUCAGGACGCGGUACCGGAAUAGAAAGCCACGGCUAACUACGUGCCAGCAGCCGCGGUAAUUC